Molecule: small RNA, 127 nt
Filed under: Marmota monax (woodchuck)
Lineage: Eukaryota; Metazoa; Chordata; Mammalia; Rodentia; Sciuridae
Source: RNAcentral
GCCGGGUGUGGUGGCACACGCCUAUAAUCCCAGCUGCUUUGGAGGCUGAGGCAGGAGGAUCACAAGUUCAAAGCCAGCCCCGGCAAUUUAGCAAGGCCCUAAGCAACUCAGCAAGACCCUGUCUCUA